UGAGGAAUAUUGGACAAUGGGCGCAAGCCUGAUCCAGCCAUGCCGCGUGCAGGAAGAAGCAUCUAUGGUGUGUAAACUGCUUUUGUACGGGAAGAAACACUCCUACGUGUAGGAGCUUGACGGUACCGUAAGAAUAAGGAUCGGCUAACUCCGUGCCAGCAGCCGCGGUAAUACGGAGGAUCCAAGCGUUAUCCGGAAUCAUUGGGUUUAAAGGGUCCGUAGGCGGUUUAGUAAGUCAGUGGUGAAAGACCAUCGCUCAACGAUGGAACGGCCAUUGAUACUGCUAGACUUGAAUUAUUAGGAAGUAACUAGAAUAUGUAGUGUAGCGGUGAAAUGCUUAGAUAUUGCAUGGAAUACCAAUUGCGAAGGCAGGUUACUACUAAUGAAUUGACGAUGAUGGACGAAAGCGUGGGGAGCGAAAA
RNAcentral lists this ribosomal RNA (422 nucleotides) under uncultured bacterium. RNAcentral describes it as "bacterial SSU rRNA". It matches the Rfam family "Bacterial small subunit ribosomal RNA", at positions 355 to 774 of the family's 1533-position model. The record is from RNAcentral.